AGGGUUCGAUUCCGGAGAGGGAGCCUGAGAAACGGCUACCACAUCUAAGGAAGGCAGCAGGCGCGCAAAUUACCCAAUGAAAACAGUUUCGAGGUAGUGACGAGAAAUAACAAUACAGGGCAUUUUAUGCUCUGUAAUUGGAAUGAUGGGAAUGUAAAACCCUUCCAGAGUAACAAUUGGAGGGCAAGUCUGGUGCCAGCAGCCGCGGUAAUUCCAGCUCCAAUAGUGUAUAUUARAGUUGUUGCAGUUAAAAAGCUCGUAGUUGGAUUUCUGUCGUGGUCAUCCGGCUCCGCCYGUAUGGGUGUGCGCCUGGUUUGCCCUCGGCUUUCUUCCGGUAGCCUUYSACGCUUAACUGCGU
RNAcentral lists this ribosomal RNA (358 nucleotides) under Eimeria sp. Its description in RNAcentral is "SSU rRNA". Lineage: Eukaryota; Apicomplexa; Conoidasida; Eucoccidiorida; Eimeriidae. The record is from RNAcentral.